Molecule: ribosomal RNA, 253 nt
Filed under: uncultured bacterium
Lineage: Bacteria
Description: partial 16S ribosomal RNA
Rfam family: Bacterial small subunit ribosomal RNA
Source: RNAcentral
UACGGAGGGUGCAAGCGUUACUCGGAAUCACUGGGCGUAAAGAGCGUGUAGGCGGGUUAUUAAGUCAGAAGUGAAAUCCUAUGGCUCAACCAUAGAACUGCUUUUGAAACUGGUAACCUAGAGUAUGGGAGAGGUAGAUGGAAUUUCUGGUGUAGGGGUAAAAUCCGUAGAGAUCAGAAGGAAUACCGAUUGCGAAGGCGAUCUACUGGAACAUUACUGACGCUGAGACGCGAAAGCGUGGGGAGCAAACAGG